Molecule: ribosomal RNA, 549 nt
Filed under: uncultured archaeon
Lineage: Archaea
Description: bacterial SSU rRNA
Rfam family: Archaeal small subunit ribosomal RNA
Source: RNAcentral
UGUGAGAGCAAGAGCCCGGAGAUGGAUUCUGAGACACGAAUCCAGGCCCUACGGGGUGCAGCAGGCGCGAAAACUUUACAAUGCCGGCAACGGCGAUAAGGGGACCUCGAGUGCCAGGUUACAAAUCUGGCUGUCGUGAUGCCUAAAAAGCAUUGCAUAGCAAGGGCCGGGCAAGACCGGUGCCAGCCGCCGCGGUAACACCGGCGGCUCGAGUGGUAACCGUUAUUAUUGGGUCUAAAGGGUCUGUAGCCGGCCGGAUAAGUCUCUUGAGAAAUCCAGCAGCUCAACUGUUGGGCUUUCAGGAGAUACUGUUCGGCUCGAGGCCGGGAGAGGUGAGAGGUACUUCAGGGGUAGGGGUGAAAUCUUGUAAUCCUUGAAGGACCACCAGUGGCGAAGGCGUCUCACCAGAACGGACCUGACGGCAAGGGACGAAAGCUAGGGGCACGAACCGGAUUAGAUACCCGGGUAGUCCUAGCCGUAAACGAUACUCGCUAGGUGUCGGCCACGGUGCGACCGUUGUCGGUGCCGUAGGGAAGCCGUGAAGCGAGC